GAAUUGACGCUUCGGGUUGUAAGCCCUUUUGUUGGGAAAGAAAUCCAGCCGGCUAAUACCUGGUUGGGAUGACGGUACCAAAGAAUAAGCACCGGCUAACUUCGUGCCAGCAGCCGCGGUAAUACGAAGGGUGCAAGCGUUACUCGGAAUUACUGGGCGUAAAGCGUGCGUAGGUGGUCGUUUAAGUCCGUUGUGAAAGCCCUGGGCUCAACCUGGGAACUGCAGUGGAUACUGGGCGACUAGAGUGUGGUAGAGGGUAGCGGAAUUCCUGGUGUAGCAGUGAAAUGCGUAAAGAUCAGGAGGAACAUCCAUGGCGAAGGCAGCUACCUGGACCAACACUGACACUGAGGCACGAAAGCGUGGGGAGCAAACAGGAUUAGAUACCCUGGUAGUCCACGCCCUAAAUGAUGCGAACUGGAUGUUGGGUGCAACUUUGGCACGCAGUAUCGAAGCUAACGCGUUAAGUUCGCCGCCUGGGGAGUACGGUCGCAAGACUGAAACUCAAAGGAAUUGACGGGGGCCCGCACAAGCGGUGGAGUAUGUGGUUUAAUUCGAUGCAACGCGAAGAACCUUACCUGGCCUUGACAUGUCGAGAACUUUCCAGAGAUGGAUUGGUGCCUUCGGGAACU
RNAcentral lists this ribosomal RNA (629 nucleotides) under Stenotrophomonas sp. 5PR. RNAcentral's name for it is "bacterial SSU rRNA". It matches the Rfam family "Bacterial small subunit ribosomal RNA", at positions 407 to 1028 of the family's 1533-position model. Lineage: Bacteria; Pseudomonadati; Pseudomonadota; Gammaproteobacteria; Lysobacterales; Lysobacteraceae. The record is from RNAcentral.